GCCCGUUUAGCUCAUCGGUAGAGCGCAUCACUAGUACCACACAUGAUUAUGAUGAGGUGACUGGUUCGAUUCCAGUAAUGGGCA
RNAcentral lists this transfer RNA (84 nucleotides) under Diaporthe ampelina. It matches the Rfam family "tRNA". From Rfam's summary of the family: Transfer RNA (tRNA) molecules are approximately 80 nucleotides in length. Their secondary structure includes four short double-helical elements and three loops (D, anti-codon, and T loops). Lineage: Eukaryota; Fungi; Ascomycota; Sordariomycetes; Diaporthales; Diaporthaceae. The record is from Rfam by way of RNAcentral.